UACGAAGGGGGCUAGCGUUGCUCGGAAUCACUGGGCGUAAAGCGCACGUUAGGCGGAUCUUUAAGUCAGGGGUGAAAUCCCGAGGCUCAACCUCGGAACUGCCUUUGAUACUGGGGAUCUCGAGUCCGGAAGAGGUUGGUGGAACUCCGAGUGUAGAGGUGAAAUUCGUAGAUAUUCGGAAGAACACCAGUGGCGAAGGCGGCCAACUGGUCCGGUACUGACGGCUGAGGUGCGAAAGCGUGGGGAGCAA
This 250-nucleotide ribosomal RNA is filed under the name uncultured bacterium. Its description in RNAcentral is "partial 16S ribosomal RNA". It matches the Rfam family "Bacterial small subunit ribosomal RNA", at positions 524 to 771 of the family's 1533-position model. The record is from RNAcentral.